RNAcentral lists this ribosomal RNA (366 nucleotides) under uncultured bacterium. RNAcentral's name for it is "partial 16S ribosomal RNA". It matches the Rfam family "Bacterial small subunit ribosomal RNA", at positions 338 to 696 of the family's 1533-position model. The record is from RNAcentral.
CCUACGGGCGGCAGCAGUGGGGAAUAUUGCGCAAUGGGCGAAAGCCUGACGCAGCGACGCCGCGUGAGGGAUGAAGGUCUUCGGAUCGUAAACCCCUGUCAGCAGGGGAGCACGGUCUCUGUGCUAAUCAGCAGUGAAUUUACGGUACCUACAAAGGACGCACCGGCUAACACCGUGCCAGCAGCUGCUGUAAGACGGAGGGUGCGUGCGUUAAUCGGUAUGACUGGGCGUAAGGCGCUCGUAGGCGGUAUGUCAAGUCACGGGUGAAAUCACGGCGCGCAAGGUGGGGAAUGCCUAUGAUACGGGCAAACUAGUGUGUGUAGGAGGAUAGUGGAAUGACAGGUGUAGGAGUGAAAUCAGUAGAUA